RNAcentral lists this ribosomal RNA (587 nucleotides) under uncultured bacterium. RNAcentral's name for it is "bacterial SSU rRNA". It matches the Rfam family "Bacterial small subunit ribosomal RNA", at positions 338 to 916 of the family's 1533-position model. The record is from RNAcentral.
CCUACGGGAGGCAGCAGUGGGGAAUAUUGGACAAUGGGCGCAAGCCUGAUCCAGCCAUGCCGCGUGGGUGAAGAAGGCCUUCGGGUUGUAAAGCCCUUUUGUUGGGAAAGAAAAGCAGUCGGCUAAUACCCGAUUGUUCUGACGGUACCCAAAGAAUAAGCACCGGCUAACUUCGUGCCAGCAGCCGCGGUAAUACGAAGGGUGCAAGCGUUACUCGGAAUUACUGGGCGUAAAGCGUGCGUAGGUGGUGGUUUAAGUCCGUUGUGAAAGCCCUGGGCUCAACCUGGGAAUUGCAGUGGAUACUGGGUCACUAGAGUGUGGUAGAGGGUAGCGGAAUUCCUGGUGUAGCAGUGAAAUGCGUAGAGAUCAGGAGGAACAUCCGUGGCGAAGGCGUCUACCUGGACCAACACUGACACUGAGGCACGAAAGCGUGGGGAGCAAACAGGAUUAGAUACCCUGGUAGUCCACGCCCUAAACGAUGCGAACUGGAUGUUGGGUGCAAUUUGGCACGCAGUAUCGAAGCUAACGCGUUAAGUCCGCCGCCUGGGGAGUACGGUCGCAAGACUGAAACUCAAAGGAAUUGACGG